GAGUUUGAUCUUGGCUCAGAACGAACGCUGGCGGCAUGCCUAACACAUGCAAGUCGAACGAUCCCUUCGGGGAUAGUGGCGCACGGGUGCGUAACGCGUGGGAACCUGCCCUUAGGUUCGGAAUAACUCCCCGAAAGGGGUGCUAAUACCGGAUAAUGUCUUCGGACCAAAGAUUUAUCGCCUUUGGAUGGGCCCGCGUUGGAUUAGCUAGUUGGUGGGGUAAAGGCCUACCAAGGCGACGAUCCAUAGCUGGUCUUAGAGGAUGAUCAGCCACACUGGGACUGAGAUACGGCCCAGACUCCUACGGGAGGCAGCAGUGGGGAAUAUUGGACAAUGGGCGAAAGCCUGAUCCAGCAAUGCCGCGUGAGUGAUGAAGGCCCUAGGGUUGUAAAGCUCUUUUACCAGGGAUGAUAAUGACAGUACCUGGAGAAUAAGCUCCGGCUAACUCCGUGCCAGCCGCCGCGGUAAC
Molecule: ribosomal RNA, 469 nt
Filed under: uncultured Alphaproteobacteria bacterium
Lineage: Bacteria; Pseudomonadati; Pseudomonadota; Alphaproteobacteria
Description: bacterial SSU rRNA
Rfam family: Bacterial small subunit ribosomal RNA
Source: RNAcentral